UGAGGGUAGGAGGAGUGAACAUGGCAUUGCAGAGUGCCGGGGAUACCUUGAAUAAACAAUUCAGUCAAGCGACUGACUGCAGGACUCAAGAAAAACUCUAGAAAACCGCACAUGUGGGGAAUAGACGCGGUCAGCCCCAUUCACCUGUCCGUUUUUUUUUUUUUAACAUCUCAAUUGUUCGUAAAGAGAAAUAUCAUAUACGCGUCUCCGACUAUUCCCUGAAUGCAGCAUAAUUUUCAACGGGAUUUUCUUUUUUCACCAUCCGCGCAGCGAGGCUGCCUCCUCCGGCCUCGACUGCUGACGAAUGGCAGCGGAUUACAGAUGAGGACACGAUGACCUGUUCGACCUUCCCGCAGCAGGUGGAGCAGAGGGAGGGGCCUGACAGGCCGGGCCCAGAGCCUCAGGUCACUGGAGGAUGAGGUCGUGAGAAGGUGGAGGAUCUGCCAGGUGGCCAAUGACAGAGUGUCACAUGACAGUAGCUUGAUGUCAAUGUGUCAAGGGUAGACCUGUGGC
Molecule: long non-coding RNA, 513 nt
Filed under: Sinocyclocheilus grahami
Lineage: Eukaryota; Metazoa; Chordata; Actinopteri; Cypriniformes; Cyprinidae
Description: lncRNA (ENSSGRG00000022217.1)
Source: RNAcentral